Non-coding RNA from Sphaerochaeta globosa str. Buddy, 81 nucleotides. Lineage: Bacteria; Pseudomonadati; Spirochaetota; Spirochaetia; Spirochaetales; Sphaerochaetaceae. The record is from Rfam.
GGAGGGUCAAAGCAACAUGUGCUGUUCGGCCGCAGAAGUCAGCAGAGGUCAUAGUAGCGGCAUCGGAAUGACGUGAAGGAC